This 471-nucleotide ribosomal RNA is filed under the name uncultured bacterium. RNAcentral describes it as "bacterial SSU rRNA". It matches the Rfam family "Bacterial small subunit ribosomal RNA", at positions 328 to 793 of the family's 1533-position model. The record is from RNAcentral.
CGCUGUCACUCCUACGGGGAGCAGCAGUAGGGAAUCUUCACAAUGGGCGCAAGCCUGAUGGAGCAACACCGCGUGAGUGAAGAAGGGUUUCGGCUCGUAAAGCUCUGUUAGUUAAAGAAGAACACGUAUGAGAGUAACUGUUCAUACGUUGACGGUAUUACCAGAAAGUCACGGCUAACUACGUGCCAGCAGCCGCGGUAAUACGUAGGUGGCAAGCGUUAUCCGGAUUUAUUGGGCGUAAAGAGAGUGCAGGCGGUUUUCUAAGUCUGAUGUGAAAGCCUUCGGCUUAACCGGAGAAGUGCAUCGGAAACUGGAUAACUUGAGUGCAGAAGAGGGUAGUGGAACUCCAUGUGUAGCGGUGGAAUGCGUAGAUAUAUGGAAGAACACCAGUGGCGAAGGCGGCUACCUGGUCUGCAACUGACGCUGAGACUCGAAAGCAUGGGUAGCGAACAGGAUUAGAUACCCUGGUAG